GUCUUCUCUCCCGAGUUUUCUCUCUCUCCUCUUGCUCUCUCGCUCUAUUGCUCUAUCUGCUCUCUCUCUCCCCCCUCUCUCUAUCUCUAUCUCUACCUCCCUCUCUCUCCUUCCCUUUCGUUCCUUCCCCCCUCUUCUAUACUCUCUUGAUAUCUCUCUCUCCGUGGCGCACAAACAAAUUAUGGAUUCUUUUCGGAACGAAUCGCAAAUUAGCAAAUCUGUUAUUGAUGUUUACUGUUUAUCAGGUAAUUGUGUUUACUCUCUUUAUUUUGAUUGUGAUUUUGAUUCUACUGGUGAACAUAAAUACUUGAUUUGUAAAUUAUUACUUGAUAGGGUUAAUUUGACUAAUUUAUUUUGGUUCUACUGUGGAAGCAUUACAUGCUUUUUGAUUUUUUUGUUUUUUCAUUAAUUUCGAGUUUACCGUAGGAUCAUAUAUUUGAUAAAGUUGUGUUUCUUGAUAGUAAUUAUUCUUUUAAAGGUGUAAUAUUUAUUAUUUUAUUUUUGAACUAUUUUGAAUUUGAUUCUUUGGCUUUCAAUCAAUUUAUUCUAGUUAUUUUUAUUAAUUUAUUAUAUUUAUUUUAUGAUUUUAGUAAAGAAUCAAAAUUGUGUACACAGAUUCUACUCUAGAAGAUAAAUGCUCAAUUUGUUAAUUUAUUACUUGAUCUAGUUAAAUUUGUGUUAAUUGGUUUUGAUCCUGUUAUAGAACUAUAUCAUAUAUGAGCUAUCCUGGGUUGUAUGGUUUUUCAAUAAUUUUGAUUCUACUAUAGAAUUAUAAAUUUUCAUCAUGUUGUCAAUUUGUUCACAUGUUGUUUUGAAUGAUACUAUGGAGUAAGCCUUUCGAGACCCCUGCCAAUGAUGAAAUUUUAUCCAGUCAUCAAUCCUGCAAAUGCUAAAGCUGUUAAUGCAUUUGUUAACAAAGAGUAAGACCAAACUGUAUUCUUUCAUUUUGUUAACAAAGAGUAAGACCAAACUGUAUUCUUUCAUUAGAAGUAGUAGUUAGUAUCUUAAUGUUUGUUGUACUCAAUGUCAACUAUUUGUUGCACCACCGAUAUUCUAGAAACAUAUGAAGUUUAACUAGCUGCUACUAUUACAAUGUGAGAUAUAUUAAUCAUGUUUACACGUGUGUUCCUUUGUUAAUGCAUGUUUUGAUGCAGCCUGAAGUGUUUAAGGAUGUCUGGUAUCUAAAUUAUUAUCGACGUUAUGUAUUCUAGUUUGAUUUGUGAAGCCAAAUCAUUGGAUCCUAAUAAGGUAAAGCAAAGAUAUUGAUUUGCUUAAGAGGUGAAAAUGCUAGAACUGCAUAAACCAUAAAUGCUUAUCAUGUUGGUGUUGUUGGGAUGAUUCUCUAUUUCGGCUGAUCCCCCCCUCCCCCCAAAUUAUCAUUGUUUCCCAUCUUACUUACAAAGAUGGUCAAAUUCUCUAUGCCUAACUCAAUUCCAGUAGAUAUAUCACUCUCUCCUAGGUUAAUUCUAAAUUUUGUUAUUCACAUAAAGAUAUGCCAUUGUUUUAAUAAAUAUUUAAUUGGAUACAUUGCGCUUCCAUAUUCACAACUUGGCCAAGUUCGUCCUCUUUCCAUGAUUGUUUUUUACUCCACGGGUCUAAACACUGUUAUACCAAAUAUUCUUAAGGUUAUAACAAAUAUAUUUAAAAUGAGCAGGACACUAUGUCUUUUUUCUUAUGGAUGGUGCUUGCUUUCUUUUGUAUGAUUGUAAUUUAAUUAAAUAACCAUUAGUUCAUUUUACUGUGUUUUUCAGCCUAAUAUUAUUGCACUAGGAAUGAGUAUUCUAGCAGCAUUGUCUGAGUAUUCCUAGAUGGAAGGGAAAAUGAUAAUCGUCUAACUCCGUUUAGAAUACUAUCUGAUACCUCCAUGUCUUGCCAUCCUGUUUCUGGAAUUCUUGGCCUACUGAAGAAAUUCCAUCCUAGCUAGAGUGUUGUUGCCAUAAAUUCUGCAAUCAUCACUACUGGUAAAAAGCCUACAUAAUCUUAUUUAUAAAAUUAUAAGAUCUUUAAUCAGUUCUUACAUUAUAUGUUUAUCAAGCUUUUUGAUCUUUAAUCCCACCAUUUUUUGCCUUCUAAAUCUCCGAUCUACUUAAUUUACAAAAAUUAUGAUUUUAUGAUUCUACAUCCAUGAACUUGCUCAUUGAUUGAUUUUGAUCGUGCUUCUGAUUCUAUAAUGGAACAUAGACACUCAAUUUGUUAUUUAUUAAUGUGUUCGAUAAAUUAUGUUUGAUAAGUUUUUGUUUAAUUUUAGAAUUAUAUAAGUUUUCUUGAUUGUUUAUGAAUUGUCCAUGAUUUUACUAUGAAAAAUAUAUACUCAAUUUAUUGUUCAAUUAGUUGGUUUAGUAAAUUAUAACUAAAAAGCUUUUUGUUCAGUUGUAGAAUUAUAAGAGUUUUACUCGUUGCUCAUGAAAUGUAUAUUAUUCUAUUGUGGAUCAUCAACACUCAAUUUUAUAUUUCAUUAAUUAAUUUAGUAAAUUAUGGUUAAUUUGUUCAACUUUAGAAUUAUAAUAUAUAUGAGUUCUCAUGGUUGUUCUCUUUUUCAUUGAUUUCGAUUCUAUUCUAGAAUUCAAAAAUAUAUAUAUUCAAAAAAAAUUUGAAAAGUAGUAUUGUUUGAUAGUAAUUGGUAUUCUAAAGCAUUAAUUUCUCAAAUUUGGAUGUAUGUUAGAUUUUUUUUUUUCCUUUGAACUAUUUAUCAUUUUGUUUUACGAUUUCAAUCUACAUAUUUUGGUUGUUUUUUUUAUUAUGUAUGUUAUCUUUAAUUUACAAUUUUAUUAUUGAGUCAAAAAUAUUUAUUGUAUAUUCGAUGGCAAGUCAUAGUUCUUUUAUGAGUGUUCUUGCUAUGAUUGAUAUUUGAUUUAAUAUGAUAAACAGAUUAGUGGUCAAGACGAAAGUUGCUUUUAGGUAAUUGUGUAAAAUUAAUUGUCAUGGAUUAUUGGCUACUUAAAAUCUAAAAUGACGUAAGUCUUUGAUGUUUUUUUGGCUAUUAGGUGUGCUUAUAAUGAGCAAGGUGUAUUUUUGAAUUCUCUGAUGAAGACAGAUGGGAUCAUAAGCUUAACAGGGACAAGGUUAAAUUGUCUUCUCAAGCUAGAAGAUCAUAAACAAUGGAGUCAUCCUUAAUUCUAUCAAAAUUUAUCAAUUCAAUAUUUAAACCUGAAUGUUGUGACCCGAGCAUUGGUUGGAGGACGUGAUAGAGAUGAUAAUUUUAGAGAUGAAUCCUGCACAUAUAAUACAUCACUGCUUGUUGGUAUAUUUGUGAUUUUGAGGAGCUAAAUCAGUUGUCUAAUUUAUGGUCAAUUGCUUCCUACCCGGUAGACAUAAUACAUCUCAAGGUACAUAUAUAUAGAAACAUUACUGUGCGGCAGGUUUCAAAUUUGAUUUUAUGUGCUUAUGAACAGUUGUUAGAGCUGUAAAUUGAACAACAUCCCUAACACAUGAUUUGAUAUAGUAUCACACUUUUG
This 3455-nucleotide long non-coding RNA is filed under the name Daucus carota (carrot). RNAcentral's name for it is "long non-coding RNA (DCAR_LNC006186)". Lineage: Eukaryota; Viridiplantae; Streptophyta; Magnoliopsida; Apiales; Apiaceae. The record is from RNAcentral.